AGUAUGUGGUUUAAUUCGAUGCAACGCGAAGACUUACCUGGUCUUGACAUCCCGGAGACCCUUAGGAAACUAGGGGUGCUUCCAUCUGGAAGAAUCUGGAGACAGGUGCUGCAUGGCUGUCGUCAGCUCGUGUCGUGAGAUGUUGGGUUAAGUCCCGCAACGAGCGCAACCCUUGCCUUUAGUUGCCAGCAGUUCGGCUGGGCACUCUAAAGGGACUGCCGGUGUUAAACCGGAGGAAGGUGGGGAUGACGUCAAGUCCUCAUGGCCUUUAUGACCAGGGCUACACACGUACUACAAUGGCCGAUACAAAGGGCAGCGACACUGCGAGGUGAAGCCAAUCCCGUAAAAUCGGUCUCAGUCCGGAUUGGAGUCUGCAACUCGACUCCAUGAAGUUGGAAUCGCUAGUAAUCGUGGAUCAGCAUGCCACGGUGAAUACGUUCCCGGGCCUU
RNAcentral lists this ribosomal RNA (449 nucleotides) under uncultured Desulfobulbus sp. RNAcentral's name for it is "bacterial SSU rRNA". It matches the Rfam family "Bacterial small subunit ribosomal RNA", at positions 936 to 1382 of the family's 1533-position model. The record is from RNAcentral. Lineage: Bacteria; Pseudomonadati; Thermodesulfobacteriota; Desulfobulbia; Desulfobulbales; Desulfobulbaceae.